UGCAAGUCGAACGGUAACAGGGAGCAGCUUGCUGCUCUGCUGACGAGUGGCGGACGGGUGAGUAAUGUCUGGGAAACUGCCUGAUGGAGGGGGAUAACUACUGGAAACGGUAGCUAAUACCGCAUAACGUCUUCGGACCAAAGUGGGGGACCUUCGGGCCUCAUGCCAUCAGAUGUGCCCAGAUGGGAUUAGCUAGUAGGUGGGGUAACGGCUCACCUAGGCGACGAUCCCUAGCUGGUCUGAGAGGAUGACCAGCCACACUGGAACUGAGACACGGUCCAGACUCCUACGGGAGGCAGCAGUGGGGAAUAUUGCACAAUGGGCGCAAGCCUGAUGCAGCCAUGCCGCGUGUAUGAAGAAGGCCUUCGGGUUGUAAAGUACUUUCAGCGGGGAGGAAGGCGUUGUGGUUAAUAACCACAGCGAUUGACGUUACCCGCAGAAGAAGCACCGGCUAACUCCGUGCCAGCAGCCGCGGUAAUACGGAGGGUGCAAGCGUUAAUCGGAAUUACUGGGCGUAAAGCGCACGCAGGCGGUCUGUUAAGUCAGAUGUGAAAUCCCCGGGCUCAACCUGGGAACUGCAUUUGAAACUGGCAGGCUUGAGUCUCGUAGAGGGGGGUAGAAUUCCAGGU
This 629-nucleotide ribosomal RNA is filed under the name Cronobacter malonaticus. RNAcentral describes it as "bacterial SSU rRNA". It matches the Rfam family "Bacterial small subunit ribosomal RNA", at positions 56 to 674 of the family's 1533-position model. Lineage: Bacteria; Pseudomonadati; Pseudomonadota; Gammaproteobacteria; Enterobacterales; Enterobacteriaceae. The record is from RNAcentral.